CCCUUAGAUGUUCUGGGCUGCACGCGCGCUACACUGAUGCGUUCAACGAGUUUAUGACCUUGCCCGAUAGGGUUGGGUAAUCUUUUUAAAUCGCAUCGUGAUGGGGAUAGAUUAUUGCAAUUAUUAAUCUUCAACGAGGAAUUCCUAGUAAGCGCGAGUCAUCAGCUCGUGCUGAUUACGUCCCUGCCCUUUGUACACACCGCCCGUCGCUCCUACCGAUUGGGUGAUCCGGUGAAUUGCUUGGAACAGCUACGGUGUUCAUUGAACGCUGUGGAGGUGAAAAGUUGUAAACCUUAUCACUUAGAGGAAGGAAAAGUCGUAACA
RNAcentral lists this ribosomal RNA (324 nucleotides) under uncultured eukaryote. RNAcentral's name for it is "partial 18S ribosomal RNA". It matches the Rfam family "Eukaryotic small subunit ribosomal RNA", at positions 1470 to 1796 of the family's 1831-position model. The record is from RNAcentral.